GAUGAAGAACGUAGCGAAAUGCGAUAAGUAGUGUGAAUUGCAGAAUUCCGUGAAUCAUCGAAUCUUUGAACGCACAUUGCGCCCCCUGGUAUUCCGGGGGGCAUGCCUGUUCGAGCGUCAUUUCACCACUCAAGCCUCGCUUGGUAUUGGGCAACGCGGUCCGCCGCGUGCCUCAAAUCGACCGGCUGGGUCUUCUGUCCCCUAAGCGUUGUGGAAACUAUUCGCUAAAGGGUGUUCGGGAGGCUACGCCGUAAAACAACCCCAUUUCUAAGGUUGACCUCGGAUCAGGUAGGGAUACCCGCUGAACUUAAGCAUAUCAAUAAGCGGAGGA
RNAcentral lists this unclassified non-coding RNA (331 nucleotides) under soil metagenome. RNAcentral's name for it is "partial contains 5.8S ribosomal RNA, internal transcribed spacer 2, and large subunit ribosomal RNA". The stretch from base 1 to 120 matches the Rfam family "5.8S ribosomal RNA", at positions 35 to 154 of the family's 154-position model. The record is from RNAcentral.